GCCGGGCAUGGUGGCACAUGCCUGUAAUCCCAGCUACUAGGGAGACUGAGGCAGGAGGAACACAAGUUUGAGGCCAGCCUCAC
Molecule: small RNA, 83 nt
Filed under: Marmota monax (woodchuck)
Lineage: Eukaryota; Metazoa; Chordata; Mammalia; Rodentia; Sciuridae
Source: RNAcentral